AUUGAACGCUGGCGGCAGGCCUAACACAUGCAAGUCGAGCGGAGCGGCGGACGGGUGAUUAAUGCCUAGGAAUCUGCCUGUUAGUGGGGUAUAACGUCCGGCAACGGGCGCUAAUACCGCAUACUAGCAGAUCACUCUCGGUGGGAUUAGUUAGUUGGUGGGGUAAAGGCCUACCAAGGCGACGAUCCGUAACUGGUCUGAGAGGAUGAUCAGUCACACUGGAACUGAGACACGGUCCAGACUCCUACGGGAGGCAGCAGUGGGGAAGAUUGGACAAUGGGCGAAAGCCUGAUCCAGCCAUGCCGGGUGUGUGAAGAAGGUCUUCGGAUUGUAAAGCACUUUAAGUUGGGAGGCGUUACCAACAGAAUAAGCACCGGCUAACUUCGUGCCAGCAGCCGCGGUAAUUC
RNAcentral lists this ribosomal RNA (407 nucleotides) under uncultured bacterium. RNAcentral describes it as "partial 16S ribosomal RNA". It matches the Rfam family "Bacterial small subunit ribosomal RNA", at positions 30 to 526 of the family's 1533-position model. The record is from RNAcentral.